RNAcentral lists this ribosomal RNA (470 nucleotides) under uncultured bacterium. Its description in RNAcentral is "bacterial SSU rRNA". It matches the Rfam family "Bacterial small subunit ribosomal RNA", at positions 28 to 507 of the family's 1533-position model. RNAcentral also lists the same sequence under 2 other names. The record is from RNAcentral.
GACGAACGCUGGCGGCGUGCUUAACACAUGCAAGUCGAACGGUGAUCUUGAGAGCUUGCUCUUGGGUGAUCAGUGGCGAACGGGUGAGUAACACGUGAGUAACCUGCCCCUGACUCUGGAAUAACUUCGGGAAACCGAAGCUAAUACCGGAUAUGACACAGAGCCGCAUGGUUUCUGUGUGGAAAGUUUUUCGGUUGGGGAUGGACUCGCGGCCUAUCAGCUUGUUGGUGAGGUAAUGGCUCACCAAGGCGACGACGGGUAGCCGGCCUGAGAGGGCGACCGGCCACACUGGGACUGAGACACGGCCCAGACUCCUACGGGAGGCAGCAGUGGGGAAUAUUGCACAAUGGGCGAAAGCCUGAUGCAGCGACGCCGCGUGAGGGAUGAAGGCCUUCGGGUUGUAAACCUCUUUCAGUAGGGAAGAAGCGCAAGUGACGGUACCUACAGAAGAAGCACCGGCUAACUACGUG